This is a long non-coding RNA of Columba livia (rock pigeon), 2826 nucleotides long. RefSeq lists it as uncharacterized. The transcript has 5 exons. Lineage: Eukaryota; Metazoa; Chordata; Aves; Columbiformes; Columbidae. The record is from RefSeq and is a predicted model, not a curated record.
UACUAGCAAUAAACCUCACCCACUGUUCACACUGUAUUGUUUUCAGUGGAUCAGUUAUUUACAGUGCAACCCAAGAGAGUAAUGGUUUUACUGACUAUUUGCAAUGCUAUUCUCCUACUGCCUUAAUAACGAUGAAUGGUAUUUAACUGCCAGACAUCAGAGAUCUCUUUAUUUUAAUUAGAAAAGUUGCUUUCCCUAUCCUUUUACUUGGAACAAAAUAUAUCCUGGAAGAUUCCUUACACUGGUCCCCUAGCUCUUGAUUUGGAGUGAAUUAAAGGAAACAUAUUGUGAAAGGUGAAUAGCUAGGGAAAAAAAUAAGGUCUAACAUUAAACAAUAUAAAUGUUUCAGCCUUUUCCUCUGUCAAACCUUGGGGCAAAGUCUUUUCAAUGUCAUGCUUUAGUAAAAGUCUUUUUAGCCCGUGUGUGUCUUUCAAAACACGGCAGACAAAAGCUUUUAUUUUAAAAGCAAACAGCUAAGUGAUUUGCUGCACACUUGCCGUGAAUAGUAACGAGUAGAUUUGUGGUGUGUUCCUCUUUCUAAUUAGCACAUUGCUAUAACCUGACUGCUGUUGUUGCUGUAUGGAUGACUACUGUCUUAUUAGAAUGCGUCUAGAGGGUACCACUUGAAGCAAUUCAUGGAACAAGUUUCAAAUAGAUGUUGGAGAAGGGUAACGAACAGAGAGCUGACUGAAGGUCUCAGCAGAGAAAGCAAAGCUGAGCUCAGAACGUAGGUCGCUGAAUACGGUCCACCCCAUGAAAUGGGAGGAUGUAAAGACUGCAAACGAUGCGUUAUAAGAAUAAAAAUAGUGAAGAUCAUUGAAAAAUAUCCUGUUUAGGUAAUUGGUUUGUUUUUUGGCUCAACUUUUCUUAACACUCUAUGGAAAAAAAUAAAAAAAGCAAAUGCAGUAUGUUAUGGGCUGCACAAAAGAAGAAGAGAGAAGAAAGUGGGAGAAUUGGCACAGAGCUGAUGGAUAAACCAACCAUCAUAAAACAUCUGGGAUUAAUCUUCAAAAAUUAUCUAAACCUGCUCCUGCUGAUGUCAUUGCAAAACCUUUGAUUACCUUGAAAGUGAACAGGAAUGGGCCACAACUGAGUGUUUUCCUUUUCAUGCUAGCUUGACUACAAAAUUUUCAGAGUACAUCAGUGGAUUUCACCCUAUGCACUUAGCUAAAUUGCAUGGUGUUUGUCUCUUCACACUGAAUUUCUUGGGACCCAAUGAGCCACUCUACAAUAACAAAACAGGACAAAGCACAAUACAGGGAGGUUCAAUUCCAGCAAUAAAACGAAUUCUAUGAUAUAACCACGGGCAAAACACAGUUUCAUUUGUGAUUACCUGAGCCUUUCCACUCAGUGCAGGGUGGUCUUUCGUGGGAUAUCAGAAAAGGAGACUGUGAAGAUACCCCCUGGAUUUUUAGUGACCUAAAGUUCAGCAUUUGUAUGGCAGAACUCCCAUAUUAUUAUUGAGAAUUUCAAACCACACUUUGAGAUGGGAGGUAACAUAGAGGGAGCAUGCAUUCCUAUAUAAUCAUGUCCUUUCUUUCUUCUGACCACAAUUCAGGAAUGCACCAAUGCUCUUUAAUCUCUCCUGUUGCACCUGCUCCUUCAGUCAUACUUGGAGCUGACUGAACUACUCAUCACAAGCAAUUUAUCAGGUCUGCUGAGGGAAUUUUUUUCAGAAGAGUUCAGUGACUUAGAAGCUGGACAGCAAUUUCUAAAAGUGGUCCAGGCAUUUACGAAUCUAAUUCAGGACCUCAUGACUCUGGUUUUAUAAGUACUUGUAUCACAUUUAUAAACAGGACCUGUACUUUUACCCCAUCUUGUUCUUCACUUCAUGGUGCGCUUGAGUGCAAAGAUGAUUUUUAUUCAUUUGUCUGUUUUUCAUAACUUAUUGACAAUCCAUGCCUUUAAUACCUAUAAAAUUGGAGGGAGUAUUGUGAACUGUUUGUGUAUGGUACGCUCUUGAAGAGUCCCACUUCCAACACCUAUGUUUAAUCACCUAAUUUCUGUGAUAUUUCUUUUAAAAUCCUUUGAAAUAGGACCACAUUCCAGCAGAAAUGACUAGGGUUUGCAUUUUCCAAGUAGAGGAUUGGGAGCCUUUGACAGAAAGAGAGAAACAUUUUAAAAAUGCAGGUGAAAAAAAUGGUAAGAAAAUAUUUUCCUAUAAUCUUUUAAUGUCUUCCUGUUGGUUGGUUUGUUGGAAUCUAGUUUUAAACUAUGUGGGCUUAUUACAGGCCAAGGGAGAAAGGAAGAUAUAAGCCUGAUUUAUUGGCUGUCUUGCAGACUUUACUUUCAAUUUUCUCUUGUCACAUUUCAAGUGAAUAAUUGGCUACCCUAAAUACAGGAUGGCCAGGUAGGCACUUUCAGCAUCUGUACACUUGCUUGUCUAAUAAAGAUUAAGUUCUUGGAUAAAUGUUCUUCUUUGUGUGCUUAUAUCAGUCCAAAAUUUCUACCUAAGGUUUCAUACAUCAUCAACAUCAUCAUCAUAAUCAUAAUUUUUUAAAAGAAAAAUGUAGAAGAAAAAUGACCAAUAGAUAAUUCAAACAUUCCAGAUCCAAAUUUGAUUUCACAAGUCUCUCUGUUACAUCAGUUCUACCAUUUGUGCACUUUGAGGUUUAUCCAUUUUUCUCUUUCCAUCAAUGACCAAGAAAUUUUCCCUCUUCCUUACUACCACCCUGUCAAACAAAUCCUGUGGAGUUCUGUGCAUCCCCAGACUUUCAGUCAUCCCACAGGCUUUCAACUCCUGUUAAAACAAACAAACCAAUUUAUAAAAAUAAAACAAACAAAACCAACAACAAAUUCACAAACACAUGAAAAUAGUAUAUAUAU